Felis catus (domestic cat) is the source of this 2528-nucleotide long non-coding RNA. RefSeq lists it as uncharacterized. NCBI's taxonomy places the organism in Eukaryota, Metazoa, Chordata, Mammalia, Carnivora, Felidae. The transcript is spliced from 5 exons. The record is from RefSeq and is a predicted model, not a curated record.
CCACAGCAAUUACUCAGAAGGUGACUUUAACUCGUUUUGAUAAAUAUGCUUCCUGGGACUCUCAGGUGGGUUAUCUUAAGCAUUUUUACCUCUGAGCCUGAAGUUAGGUGUUUUGUUAAAUUGCCGUUAAGAGAGUGUAGUUACAGGAACAGAUUUUUGCUGUUUAAUGUUACUUUAGUAGCUUCGUGCCAAACUUCCUUGCCAAAGAAACUAGCCCAAAGUAAAGGUCACUGCUUUGAAGAGUGAGUGAUGAUAAUAACUGUAUUUGUAUUGCCCUUGAUAUUUGAAAAUGGCUCUUCUGGCUAAUUGUGUGGCGUGACUAAAAAGUCAAAGGUAGGAUCUGUAGCUUAAUUCGGCACAAUUGCUGCCUGUUUGCCUUGACCACUGGUGACCACUGUUUCCUUAAUGUUAUACAAAGUGUCCCUUAUUUUUUUUCCUCUUCCUUGAAUCUGGCUCACAAGGUUUCUUUAUGUGGGUUCGGAGGCCUUUCUGCUACAGUCAUGCUAAAUUCUUUACAUCUUCUUGCAAGUUUUAAAAAACGUGUCCGCACUUUGGACUUCUAGCCGCCCGACACAACAGUAGGACCCGCUGCCAUUGCUUAGGAGGUGGUAUGUACUAAUCAAUCUUCAGUCACAUUCUUUAAGGCAUGGGUGACAGGGCAUGCUUUAUAAAUGAGGAAAUGGGAGAGAAAUUUACAAGAUGUUAAGUAACAUCAUCAGGCGAUACACAGACAUCAAUGACAAAAUCAGUAUUUCAACAUAGUCCUUGUGUACUAGAAGAUGCAGAGCCUUUGCCGGAUGUCCCAGCCACAUGAAAAUCCUUUCCACCUCUAGGGAAAGGAAACCUUGUCUUCAACUCAGCAAACAUUUUUGGAAGGUCUACUGCAUGUCAAACAGCAUGAUUGACUUUGGGGAUCAAGCAGCCAAUGGAGAAAAAUACAAUCUCUCUUUCAAGAAAUCUGUCGUCAAGUAAGGGGUCGAAAUUAUCAUGAAAGGGCUCAGCAGGGGAAAAUGCUCUCUCAGCCAGGCUAAGGAAACGUUUAAUGGGAGACAUUGCUUUUGCAUAAGGCCUGGAAAUACAAAUGGGGUUUUUAUGGGUUUAUGUGUCUCCCCCGCCCCCCAAAUUCAUAUAUUAAAGUCCUAACCCCCAGUACCUUACAGUGUGCCUUAUCUGAAAAUAGGGUUUUUGCCCAUGUAUCCAAGAUUAGAUGAGCUCAUUAGGGUGGGCUCUAAUCUAAUAUGGUUGGUGUCCUUAUAUAAGGGGGAAAUUUGGACAGAGACACAGGGAGAAUGCCAUAUAAAGAUUGGAUCUAUGCUGCCACACCUAAGGAAUAUUGGCAGCAGCCGCCAGGAACUAGGAAAGAGGCUCAAACAGAUUCUCCCUCACAACCCUCAGAAAACAAAAAACAAAAACAAAAAAUUCUUUCAAAUACACUUCUGAAAAUUUGGUAACCUUGAUUUUGGAUUUCUAGCCUCCAAAACUGCGAGACAAUACUUUUCUGUAAUUUAAGCCACCCAAUCUGUGGUAUUUCAUUAGUGCAGCCGUGGUAAACUAGUACAAGGGUGUUGACAAGAUAAUAGUAAGGGCGAUAAAGAAAUGCUUUAUUUAUUUGAGUUGUAGGAGGAAAAAAAAGCAAAAUAUGAAGAUUAGGAAAUACCUGUAUGAGGAAGCAGUGAGGAUCCUCUAAACGUAUUUUCACUGAGUAGCAAAGUGGCAUUUUUGGAAUUGUACUUUGGGAAAAUUCAACUUAUAGGUAGAAAGACAAAGAACAGAUUUAGCUCGCCCUGAAAUUUUUUGUAGGUGAAAGUCAGCAAGACAAAAGGAUGCUUGAUUUGAGAAGAGUCUUUAAAACUGGACUUUCUUUAACGAUGUAACCAACUCUAAUCCUUAUAUUUGCAGAUACGGGAAGAAGCCCCAGUCAUUUUGCUGGAGUUUUUGGAACUAGGAAUAAUGAUGCAAUAUGUUAGCUCAAGAGAAGAAACGUUUUAGAAAUGCUCUUUCUCUUCCCACCUGUUGGUAGGUAGAAAAAACCCUACUUAGUGAAAUCAGCAGAUUUCAGUUUAAGGGUCAGCUCUUUGAUAAACUAACUACAGAACCGGUUCGGGAAAUUUCUCCAGGUGUCUGUCAUUUUCUCCCUUCCCUGCCCCACCCACUCCCUCCCUUAUUUUCCUUCCUCCCUUUCCUUUGAAAGAAAGUGGUGCAUGCAGUGGUAGUUACGUCCCUUUGGCUAGCAUACAAGUCUCUUGGAGGAAUGUGCUGUUUGGAUUUCUCUUCAUUCAACCUUGCCUACCUGACCAAUCCUGUCUUUCCUUUAAGGUCUAAAUAACUUGAGUACCUCAUGGACAGAUCUUGGAACGUCUCCUUCUAUCACAGUCCUGGAGGACCAACCAUCUGCAGGAGUUUUCACCGUGAAGGUUAAUUAUCGAGGCCUCAUUAACAAGAACCUGAGAGGAGGACAAGGGGCCAGGAAUAUAAGCUCAGUUUUUUUUGAGGAACCUCAUACACUUCUCCACAGGGACUGUACCAGU